UAAUAUGAUGGCUCAGGUAGGAUAGCCGUAAGGCUCACCGGUUUAUCAACUCGGUCUUUCAAAUCUGCUUGGGCUAUCACCCAG
This 84-nucleotide non-coding RNA is filed under the name Candidatus Regiella insecticola LSR1. Lineage: Bacteria; Pseudomonadati; Pseudomonadota; Gammaproteobacteria; Enterobacterales; Enterobacteriaceae. The record is from RNAcentral.